This 67-nucleotide transfer RNA is filed under the name Ceratostoma rorifluum. RNAcentral's name for it is "tRNA-Asn". Lineage: Eukaryota; Metazoa; Mollusca; Gastropoda; Neogastropoda; Muricidae. The record is from RNAcentral.
UAAAUGAAAGCCAAAGUAGCGGCGCCUACCUGUUAACUAGGAGAAUGUAAAAAUAUUACUCAUUUAG